GACGAACGCUGGCGGCGUGCUUAACACAUGCAAGUCGAACGGAAAGGCCCUGCUUUUGUGGGGUGCUCGAGUGGCGAACGGGUGAGUAACACGUGAGUAACCUGCCCUUGACUUUGGGAUAACUUCAGGAAACUGGGGCUAAUACCGGAUAGGAGCUCCUGCUGCAUGGUGGGGGUUGGAAAGUUUCGGCGGUUGGGGAUGGACUCGCGGCUUAUCAGCUUGUUGGUGGGGUAGUGGCUUACCAAGGCUUUGACGGGUAGCCGGCCUGAGAGGGUGACCGGCCAAAUUGGGACUGAGAUACGGGCCAGACUCCUAAGGGAGGCAGGAGUGGGGAAUAUUGCACAAUGGGCGGAAGCCUGAUGCAGCAACGCCGCGUGCGGGAUGACGGCCUUCGGGUUGUAAACCGCUUUCGCCUGUGACGAAGCGUGAGUGACGGUAAUGGGUAAAGAAGCACCGGCUAACUACGUG
Molecule: ribosomal RNA, 468 nt
Filed under: uncultured bacterium
Lineage: Bacteria
Description: partial 16S ribosomal RNA
Rfam family: Bacterial small subunit ribosomal RNA
Source: RNAcentral